This 499-nucleotide long non-coding RNA is filed under the name Chinchilla lanigera (long-tailed chinchilla). RNAcentral's name for it is "lncRNA (ENSCLAG00000027270.1)". The record is from RNAcentral. Lineage: Eukaryota; Metazoa; Chordata; Mammalia; Rodentia; Chinchillidae.
GCUGGGAGCUGUCCACACUGCACCUUGUUGACCAAGUGGCGCUGCAGCAGAGACCGGGCAGGGAUGUCCAGGCUCCUGCGCUCCACAGGAAACACCUCCCUCCUCCCUAUCAGGCUGUCCCUCCACACCCUGCACGUCUCGGCCCUGACCAGAGAGCUCACGGCUGUGUGAAGCCAGGUGCCCUGGGUGCGGCUCCCUGAAGAAUUCCGCUUCUUUCCGACUGAACAAACGGAAAGGUGGUGUGCUGCACACAGUGUCCACGUCGGCAAGUGUUUCCCUAACAGUAUAUCUGUUUCAGGAAAAAGCUUGUGUGGAGAUAUGUGCUUUGCUAGCAGGCAGAAGGCUCAUUUCUGAUGAAACCAUUCAUUUUGCGAGCAGAUCUUUCCAUUUAGAACAGCAUCUCCCUGUGCACAACGACAGCAAGGAGGAUUCUGGCAAGACCCCAGUGCUGGACCAAACCGGCCGGGAGACGAGGGUGCAUCGCCAAAGGCAGGCGGAG